AAGUCGUAACAAGGUCUCCGUAGGUGAACCUGCGGAGGGAUCAUUAACAAAUUUCAUUUUAAAAAUUUGAAAAAAUUUAAUAAAUUUUUUUAAUUUUUCAAAAUCAAAACACAACGCGAACAAUACGACUGUCCGCUCAGCUUGAAAAAUUUAUUUUAUUUUAUUUUUUUCCUUCUGAAGCGGCUUUUUUAUACUAACAAAUUUCACUUAAUGUUUUUUUUCUUUUUCUAAGAAAAUCAAAAACCUUAAAAUUUAAUUAUUCAAAUGCGAGUUUGAGCGAUUAAGAUUUUGUUUUUUGUUUUCGAAAUUGUCAAAGCUAAAUGAUAGUGAUUUCAUUAUUACCGUCUUUAUUUUUGCCGUUUGAAAUAAAAAAUCAAUGUAAAAGCACAACUCUUAGCAACGGAUAUCUUGGUUCUC
This 417-nucleotide unclassified non-coding RNA is filed under the name fungal sp. RNAcentral describes it as "partial internal transcribed spacer region". The stretch from base 1 to 46 matches the Rfam family "Eukaryotic small subunit ribosomal RNA", at positions 1786 to 1831 of the family's 1831-position model. Lineage: Eukaryota; Fungi. The record is from RNAcentral.